GGGCCAGUGGCGUAAUCCGGUAGCGCGCACCGCUGGCAGCGGUGAGAUUUCGGGUUCAAACAGAUGUCACGUCAAUGAUGUGAUUCCAGAAAGUCCCGACUGGUCCA
This 107-nucleotide transfer RNA is filed under the name Candidatus Woesearchaeota archaeon. Its description in RNAcentral is "tRNA-Ala". The record is from RNAcentral. Lineage: Archaea; Nanobdellati; Candidatus Woesearchaeota.